UGGGGAAUAUUGCACAAUGGAGGGAACUCUGAUGCAGCGACGCCGCGUGAACGAAGAAGGCUUUCGAGUCGUAAAGUUCUUUUAUAUGGGAAGAUAAUGACGGUACCAUAAGAAAAAGCCCCGGCUAACUACGUGCCAGCAGCCGCGGUAAUACGUAGGGGGCUAGCGUUGUCCGGAAUCACUGGGCGUAAAGGGUUCGCAGGCGGAAAUGCAAGUCUGGUGUAAAAGGCAGUAGCUUAACUACUGUAAGCAUUUGAAACUGCAUAUCUUGAGAAGAGUAGAGGUAAGUGGAAUUUUUAGUGUAGCGGUGAAAUGCGUAGAUAUUAAAAAGAAUACCGGUGGCGAAGGCGACUUACUGGGCUCAUUCUGACGCUGAGGAACGAAAGCGUGGGUAGCAAACAGG
Molecule: ribosomal RNA, 403 nt
Filed under: Fusobacteriota bacterium
Lineage: Bacteria; Fusobacteriati; Fusobacteriota
Description: Fusobacteria bacterium partial 16S ribosomal RNA
Rfam family: Bacterial small subunit ribosomal RNA
Source: RNAcentral